CGAAGAACCUUACCUGGGUUUGACAUGCAAGUGGUAGGGAACUGAAAGGGGACCGACCCUUCGGGGAGCUUGCACAGGUGCUGCAUGGCUGUCGUCAGCUCGUGUCGUGAGAUGUCCGGUUAAGUCCGGUAACGAGCGCAACCCCUGCUGUAUGUUACAAGUGUCAUACGGGACUGCCGGUAUAAAGCCGGAGGAAGGUGGGGAUGACGUCAAGUCAGCAUGGCCUUUAUGCCCAGGGCUACACACACGCUACAAUGGUCAGGACAAUGGGUAGCAAAGCCGCGAGGUGGAGCCAAUCCUGAAACUUGGCCACAGUUCAGAUUGCAGGCUGCAACC
This 336-nucleotide ribosomal RNA is filed under the name uncultured Chloroflexota bacterium. RNAcentral describes it as "bacterial SSU rRNA". It matches the Rfam family "Bacterial small subunit ribosomal RNA", at positions 962 to 1312 of the family's 1533-position model. Lineage: Bacteria; Bacillati; Chloroflexota. The record is from RNAcentral.